UAGGGAAUCUUCGGCAAUGGACGAAAGUCUGACCAAGCAACGCCGCGUGAGUGAAGAAGGUUUUCGGAUCGUAAAACUCUGUUGUUAGAGAAGAACAAGGACGUUAGUAACUGAACGUCCCCUGACGGUAUCUAACCAGAAAGCCACGGCUAACUACGUGCCAGCAGCCGCGGUAAUACGUAGGUGGCAAGCGUUGUCCGGAUUUAUUGGGCGUAAAGCGAGCGCAGGCGGUUUCUUAAGUCUGAUGUGAAAGCCCCCGGCUCAACCGGGGGGGGUCAUUGGAAACUGGGAGACUUGGGUGCAGAAGAGGAGAGUGGAAUUCCAUGUGUAGCGGUGAAAUGCGUAGAUAUAUGGAGGAACACCAGUGGCGAAGGCGGCUCUCUGGUCUGUAACUGACGCUCAGGUGCGAAAGCGUGGGGAGCAAACAGG
Molecule: ribosomal RNA, 429 nt
Filed under: Chloroflexota bacterium
Lineage: Bacteria; Bacillati; Chloroflexota
Description: Chloroflexi bacterium partial 16S ribosomal RNA
Rfam family: Bacterial small subunit ribosomal RNA
Source: RNAcentral